Molecule: long non-coding RNA, 460 nt
Organism: Eriocheir sinensis (Chinese mitten crab)
Lineage: Eukaryota; Metazoa; Arthropoda; Malacostraca; Decapoda; Varunidae
Exons: 3
Source: RefSeq, a predicted model, not a curated record
GUCUUUCUCUGCCUCUGUGGUGGAUAGUGGAGUGUUUCCCAUGUGGUAUUGGUGUGCUGGAUAUCCCUUCACUGGUAGCCUGGUGACAUACACUCCCAGGUCUUUCUCUGCCUCUGUGGUGGAUAGUGGAGUGUUUCCCAUGUGGUAUUGGUGUGCUGGAUAUCCCUUCACUGGUAGCCUGGUAACAUACACUCCCAGGUCUUUCUCUGCCUCUGUGGUGGAUAGUGGAGUGUUUCCCAUGUGGUAUCGGUGUGCUGGAUAUCCCUUCACUGGUAGCCUGGUAACAUACACUUCCAGGUCUUUCUCUGCCUCUGUGGUGGAUAGUGGAGUGUUUCCCAUGUGGUAUUGGUGUGCUGGAUAUCCCUUCACUGGUAGCCUAGUAACAUACACUCCCAGGUCUUUCUCUGCCUCUGUGGUGGAUAGUGGAGUGUUUCCCAUGUGGUAUCGGUGUGCUGGAUAU